UGGGAGGUCGGCUAACGGUAGGCCGAUAGGCUCUGAACCUAUUAAUCCUGGUCCGAAUCCAGGCCUCCCAG
This 71-nucleotide transfer RNA is filed under the name bacterium. RNAcentral's name for it is "tRNA-Gln". It matches the Rfam family "tRNA". Rfam says of the family: Transfer RNA (tRNA) molecules are approximately 80 nucleotides in length. Their secondary structure includes four short double-helical elements and three loops (D, anti-codon, and T loops). Further hydrogen bonds mediate the characteristic L-shaped molecular structure. tRNAs have two regions of fundamental functional importance: the anti-codon, which is responsible for specific mRNA codon recognition, and the 3' end, to which the tRNAs corresponding amino acid is attached (by aminoacyl-tRNA synthetases). tRNAs cope with the degeneracy of the genetic code in two manners: having more than one tRNA (with a specific anti-codon) for a particular amino acid; and 'wobble' base-pairing, i.e. permitting non-standard base-pairing at the 3rd anti-codon position. The record is from RNAcentral.